UGCGUAGGCGGAUUAAUAAGUCAGUGGUGAAAUCUCUCGGCUCAACCGGGAAACUGCCAUUGAUACUGUUAAUCUUGAGUUCGGUUGAGGUAGGCGGAAUGUGUAAUGUAGCGGUGAAAUGCUUAGAUAUUACACAGAACACCAAUUGCGUAGGCAGCUUACUAGACCGACACUGACGCUGAGGCACGAAAGCGUGGGUAGCGAACAGGAUUAGAACCCUGGUAGUCC
Molecule: ribosomal RNA, 228 nt
Filed under: uncultured bacterium
Lineage: Bacteria
Description: partial 16S ribosomal RNA
Rfam family: Bacterial small subunit ribosomal RNA
Source: RNAcentral